RNAcentral lists this ribosomal RNA (405 nucleotides) under uncultured bacterium. Its description in RNAcentral is "partial 16S ribosomal RNA". It matches the Rfam family "Bacterial small subunit ribosomal RNA", at positions 29 to 525 of the family's 1533-position model. The record is from RNAcentral.
AUUGAACGCUGGCGGCAGGCCUAACACACGCAAGUCGCACGAGUGGCGGACGGGUGAGUAAUGUCUGGGAAACUGCCCGAUGGAGGGGGAUCACUACUGGAAACGGUCGCUAAUAACGCAUACCAUCACAUGUGCCCAGAUGGGAUUAGCUUGUUGGUGGGGUAACGGCUCACCAAGGCUACGAUCCCUAGCUGGUCUGAGAGGAAGACCCGCCAAUGGGGAACUGAAACCCGGGCCAGAAUCCGACGUGAGGCAGCAUGGGUGAAUAUUGCACAAAGGGCGCAAGCCUGAUGCAGCCAAGCGGGGGGAAUGAAGAAGGCCUGCGGGUUGUAAAGUACUUUCAGCGGGGAGGCGUUACCCGCAGAAGAAGCACCGGCGAAUUCCGAGCCAGCAGCCGCGGUAAUC